This 201-nucleotide ribosomal RNA is filed under the name uncultured bacterium. RNAcentral describes it as "partial 16S ribosomal RNA". It matches the Rfam family "Bacterial small subunit ribosomal RNA", at positions 1300 to 1500 of the family's 1533-position model. The record is from RNAcentral.
GUAGUCUGCAACCCGACUACAUGAAGCUGGAAUCGCUAGUAAUCGCAGGUCAGCAUACUGCGGUGAAUACGUUCCCGGGUCUUGUACACACCGCCCGUCACACCAUGGGAGCCGGAAAUGCCCGAAGCCAGUGACCCAACCUUAGGGAGGGAGCUGUCGAAGGUGGAGCCGGUAACUGGGGUGAAGUCGUAACAAGGUAUC